RNAcentral lists this ribosomal RNA (467 nucleotides) under uncultured bacterium. RNAcentral's name for it is "partial 16S ribosomal RNA". It matches the Rfam family "Bacterial small subunit ribosomal RNA", at positions 28 to 507 of the family's 1533-position model. The record is from RNAcentral.
GACGAACGCUGGCGGCGUGCUUAACACAUGCAAGUCGAACGGAAAGGCCUCUUUCGGGGGGUACUCGAGUGGCGAACGGGUGAGUAACACGUGAGUAACCUGCCCUUGACUUUGGGAUAACUUCAGGAAACUGGGGCUAAUACCGGAUAGGAGCUCCUGCUGCAUGGUGGGGGUUGGAAAGUUUCGGCGGUUGGGGAUGGACUCGCGGCUUAUCAGCUUGUUGGUGGGGUAGUGGCUUACCAAGGCUUUGACGUGUAGCCGGCCUGAGAGGGUGACCGGCCACAUUGGGACUGAGAUACGGCCGAGACUCCUACGGGAGGCAGCAGUGGGGAAUAUUGCACAAUGGGUGGAAGCCUGAUGCAGCAACGCCGUGUGCGGGAUGACGGCCUUCGGGUUGUAAACCGCUUUCGCUCACGACGAAGCUUUGUGUGACGGUAGUGGGUAAAGAAGCACCGGCUAACUACGUG